CUUCCCGUGGCCCCGGGGCUCAGGGGCAGCCCAGGACUCUCCCUCGCCCGGCUCACGGCCCUGCCUGGGGGGCGCCUCCGGGAGCAGAUCACGAGCCCUGGGGCUCAGCCCUCAGGCGCGUCUAGCUCGGCGGUCACCCCAGUGCCGGGAGGACCCUGAAGACGCGCCCCAGGCGGCCCUACUCAGAGCCUCCUCCCAAGGCCCAGGAAUGCGGCGCUGUCGGAGGUGUGCGCGGUGGCCACACCGCUGUCCGGGUCCCCAAAGCGGGCCCCGCUCCCACUUCUCGCCUUGGCCCCGAACCCUGGGUCCAGCCCCAGCGCUUUGUGUGCGAACACCGCUCCGCCCCGGACCCAGCUCCGCCUUGGGGCCCCUCUCUGCCUGCCCCUCCGUGCCCGACUACACUGCUUCCCCUCCGGCGGGCGACUCAGCCCGGUCCAUCGUGGCGGCUUCCAGGGCGGCAGGCUCCGGGAGUACUCCCGGGGCCGGCUCCAAGGACUGUUCCCCUCCUCCCCACUCCCACUCCGCGGCGGCGGCGGGCGAGAGCGGCGACAUAGGGCCAGGGUCCGGAGCGGUGGAGGCUCCUGGCCGGGGAGCACGUCGCCCCACCCGGCAACGCGAGGAUGGUGGCGGCGCAGUCGGCUGCUUUGGGGUCUCAAGGCACAGGGGACGCGAGGCACAGAUGUCCCACAGCAGCCACUGCGGCUCCCGCAGCUGCUCCGCCGCCGCUGCCCGCCCCUCCCUGCUGCAGCUGGCGUGAUGGCAGCGGCAGCUCUGGACGCCCCACUGCUGCCACCAUCAGCCUUGUGAAAUAGCUUGAAAGAUCUAGCCACGUGAGCAGGACAGAAGUGCACAACAACCAUAUCUUGAUUUCUGUGGACCAGGUGGGGCCCCUGCCAGCCUUGCUAGACAGACCCAGGUGAACAGUCCUUCUAGGGGAUCUCAUCACCAGGCAAGCACGUGGUACGAGAAGAGCAGUCAUUAGGAAGGCCAUUUGGAAAAGCACAUCCUCUCUGUUCACGUGUUUCCAAGGGUUGUCAGUGAUUAAAUCAACCUUACCUUAGCAUACAUGUAUGAGAGAAGUUAGAUAAAUUAUACAUAGAGAGAUAGCUAGAUAGAUAAUAGAUAAAUAAGGUAGAUGACAGAUUAGAUACAGAUGAUAAACAGAUAUGCUAUCAGUCUAGAUCUAUUACUCACAGUCAGUCGUAUCACAGUGUAAUUCCAUCAACUUCAUUUGCAGCAAAAGAACAGCCCCUGAUGUACGCCUGUUUCCUGAAUAUUUGGAAAUAUUAAUAUUAAUAUAGAUAGAGUCAGCUUGCCAGUAUAAAGAAUCUAUCUCUCACUAUAGGCAGAGCCAUGUGUUGGAUAUUAUGGAGGAAUAUGUAUUAUUUUAAUCGUUUAAAAGACUAAUAAACUUCUAAUCUACUUUUGGGAGCCUCUGCUCAAGUUCCUGAGGUUCCUACUCUAAAAUCCACAUCACCCUCCAACUGCUCCCUAUGUGAGCCAUUAGGGAGCACAAUGAAUUAGAGAAUGAAUCCUAUUAGCCCACUAAAAAAUUAUCUUUCAAAGGAUGAAGACUGAUGCUAAGGAAAAAGAGAUGAGGCCUCCCUGGUUCCGCAUUAUUACUCCUUCCUUUCUUGGGUUACGGAUUGAACACUGACCUUUUCUUUCACUCUUCUGCAAGACAACCCCAUAAGAAAGCUGAAACCUGCUUUUGUGAAAGCCUAUGAUUACUAUAAGACAGGCACAGAGCAAGAAAAUGUUUGAGGCUUGUGUCUAUAAACAAGACUUGGCUGGAAUCCCCAGACCCACGACUUUUUAAAAGGAUAUUUUGUCCCUGCAAUACAGAUACUGAAUGAGGUUGGCAAAUAAAUAUGUAUUUCUAGAGACUCUAUAA
Molecule: long non-coding RNA, 1894 nt
Filed under: Homo sapiens (human)
Lineage: Eukaryota; Metazoa; Chordata; Mammalia; Primates; Hominidae
Description: non-protein coding LINC00612:8
Source: RNAcentral